Mustela erminea (ermine) is the source of this 697-nucleotide long non-coding RNA. RefSeq lists it as uncharacterized. The record is from RefSeq and is a predicted model, not a curated record. The transcript is spliced from 4 exons. Lineage: Eukaryota; Metazoa; Chordata; Mammalia; Carnivora; Mustelidae.
CGCCCGUGGAGCGGAGCGGUGGGCGUCGGGGCGGAGCGCGCUUGGGGCCCCCGGGUCCUCGCCGGACGGGACAGACCCGGUUCGGCCGCCCCCUGCCCGCCCCGCGCGGCCCAGGCCCGAGGCGGGAAGGCAGGCCGGGGCUGAGGAGAUGGUCGGUCCAGAGGGAGCUGCUGGUUUUGCCAGGUCUCAGGGCGUGUUUUCAGCAGCGCUCGGCCUGCGGCGUUUCCACGUGCUGGAAGUUUGGGUCCCAAAGCGGCGCGCGAACUAGGUGGCUGUGGACACGAGGGACCGGAGCUUGAGACAUUCUGGGGAGCUGGGCUUGGCCACUCGCACGUCGGCCGUGUCUAAGAGCAUUCCUGGCGGGCGGUCGGCCUAGGAGGCCGGGAGGACCCCACCUGGAGCUCCGAGUCCCCUGCAGCUGCCCCGAGUGCGGGUCUCUGUUCCUCUCCAAGAAGACGACUCUGGCCCGGAGCCCAGCACUGAGCUCCCUGCUACGGCCACUGCUGCCGAGCCUGCUGAACACGCCUGGCGCAGGUGUCCAAGCCCUGCUGUCGCCACGACCCCCACCACAGCCAGCCACCUGGUGGGCCAGGGAACACGGGAACAGCACGGCAGGAGGUGGCCGUCGCCCUAGGAGGGCGGCGUGCGGAAGCGGAUCUUCUUGGCUGUUUCCACGUCGGACUUGGCAACCAAAAAC